GUCACUCCCUCUUCCACAGCCACUCAUUUCACUGUGAGGGACGAUUCCGACCAGGAGAAAUCUACCGUUCAGGUCCGUCGCCGGCGGCAAGACCGGAGCUGUAUAGCGCCGUCCAUCUCUGACGCGCUUCGCCGCCCAGAGCUGUCACGGCUAGCGCCACCCGUCUCCGGCGCGCUUCGCCGCCAUGAGCCGCGGGGUUCGAAGGCAGUAAGACAGAAAUCGCCGCCGCUCGCCUCCGGCACGCUGCGCGUGGCCUGGGGUCGUUGUAUUGGCUGGAGGCAAGAUGGGAUCCAUCACGGCUAGCUCUGUUCGCCUAAGGCGCGCUGCGCCACGCCUGGCCGUGGACUUGGCCGGCGGCAAGACGGGGGCCAUCGCGGCUAGUGUCGCUCGCCUCCGGCACACCCAAGGCCAGCCCAAGGUUGUGGCUGACCCGCUCCCUGUGAGGUGGUGGCACGGUGGAACUGCAGCGCGUGCAGCCGGUGGCUGAGAUUCCGUGGGAGUUUGCGUGAUCACAGUGGAAGAUGCUAACUCGAUGCAAACUCAACAGGCAAAGGUGAGAGAUGAUUCGCUACUUCAUCUACCUUUGUGCUAGUACCUAAUUAGCUCUCGGCUAUAUACGUACGUAAGCUAUUACUGGUAGCAAUGUACUAGCUCUGUACUAGUAGCUAGCUAUGUAGUGAACUCUGAAGUAUGCAAGCUAUCUACUUUGCUCUGCUUUUCAGUCAUACAGUACAGGGGAAAUCACAAAUUGGUGAAAGCACCUUUUAAUGAAUUUAGUGCCUAUAAGCAGGGGCGGCGCUAGGGGUAUUCUUGGGUCUUUAUGUGAAUACCCAUGAUUUUUACAAAACAAUGUUGAUUUUGGUAAAACAGUGACAAUUUUAGAAAAAACAAUAAUUUUGGUAAAAUAAAUACACAUGAAUACCCGGUUGCAAAUUCCGGGAGCCGCCACUGCCUAUAAGAACACAUUUAACUGGAAAACUAAACCUCAAUUACACGUCUAACAUAUCAUAAGGAAUAACCAACAACUAAUCCAUAUUCAUGUAUAUAUUUUUUGAGCAUAAAACCGUUGUGCAUCUAACAUUAAAAGGAACGGUAAGAUAAAUUAUUACAUCUCAAGGGAACUGUCUUGUAGAGCAAUCCUGAGAUACGAAGUUUACAUAGAGCUAUUUAAAAGUGUUUAUCUUGUAUGUGACUUGAUUGGCUACCCAAGACCUGGAAGAACAAAGAAAUAAUUUCUUAUGACAUAUAAACUUCAAUUGGGAAUAUGACUUGUAAGUGAACAAUGCCUGAAUUGGCAGCUGGUCAUUUUUUAGAUGUUGGCCAUCCCGAGUCCGAUAACAUUUGGGAGCUCUACAUACAAUGUUGAUUCAAAAGUCAAUACAAGGGAAUGACAUGUGCAUGUUCAUUUUAAUUUAUAGCGAUUAACUAAUAAAAUUCUACCUGACUUGGUUGAGUGCUAGUUGGCGGCUGGUGAUUAUGAGAUGUUGGCCAUCCCGAGUCCGAUGACACCACAGAAGUCUACAUGUAGUGUUAAUCAAAAAGUAAAUGACCCGUGCAUACCCGUCUUAAUUUUAACAACUAACUAAAUAAAUAUACCUGACUCGGUUGAAUGCUACGAUAGAAAUAUGGUUGUUGUGGUCGCAAGCCAAGUAACUGUUGAAAACUAGUAGUGCCUACCUGCGAUAGUGGAGCAGGCAAGCCAUGAUGUAAUACUUGCAAAUUAUAGGUAUUGAAGAAUUUUCAUCUGCUUGUCCUGUAGGUAUUGAAGAAUGGCACCUGUGUCUCCUUGGAUUGACUGCAUACGCUUUGAUCGGAGAUAAUUUUUAUAAUCCUUUUGACCAAAGCUAAGACAUCGUCUACCCCCUACUUGUCUACUCAUCACUUCAUGACCAGAUUUUGGUCUAAUACCUGAAUCGUUCAAUAUGUCAAUCUGGGCCUUCUGAGCUUCUGUAAUUCUUCUUUGGGAUCGCAGUAGAUGGGCUUUGCUUGGAGUUACAAGUUCAUGAUUAUGAGCAUCCUCAAAGCUGCUUACAACAUACUUUCCAUUACCACUUAUUUUGAUGGUCAUCUCUGCCAUACACCCAACUCUUGUAUCUGCUCGCUUCCGCUGGCAUUGUUCCUUGCUCUUGUCCUUGAAACCUGCCUUUGAGCAUACAAAUUUCUUUGUUCGAAUAACAUUCGUUGAGGAUUUAUCAUGCCAAAAUUUCCUGACACUGAAACCAACAUGUCCUGCAUAUGCAUUAUAAAACUCAUAUGCUAUAUCUUCAUUCUCAAAUUCCAUUCCUAUCUCUGGUUUUAACCUUUUGCUGUAAUCAUCAUCUGUGUUUCGACCUGCCUCUCCCACAUCUGUGGUGUCAUGAUCUACACAACAUAAAAAAUAUAAUAUACUAAUUAGUUCACGGGCGACACAUGGAGUAAAAGAUAACACGAUAUUCACAGUCCUGGUUUUAGUGAAACCUGAAAAGCGCUUAUAGAUAGAACAAUGCUUUUUGGAAAAGGACACAUGGUAUUCACGGGGCAUUCGAAAAAUAUUGAUCUUUUUCUUUGAUACAGUCAUCUCUAUCAUUAGAGUUAGCAAAAAGAGAAUAUGUCAAAGGAGAAAUCUCAGGCAGUAAAAUUUAUAAUAAACUUAGGUGGUACUCUGAUGCAUAAUGUACGCAACAUCGUAGGAGUAAUCAUCACUAACGGAAUUAUAAUGCAAUUCCGAAGGAUUAAUUUGCAUGUGUUUCAAAGAAACAGGGCUACGGAAGAUGAAAUACUGGGAGUAAUUUGCAUGUCAUACAUUCAACUCUUUGUUUAUUUGUUUCUUUCAAUCUUAUCAGCUUCGUAUGAUCAAGAGUGUUGACAAUCUGUACAUUCCAGGCGCAAGAACAUACCUAAGGACGAUGAAUUGGCAGGAGCUCCGUCCAUGCUGAAGAACACCGUAGAUGUUGAUCCACGGAGAGGACAAUUUCCUAUCAAUCUUGAUCUAUUCUCCUUUGAUCCGGGGGCAACAACAAUGGAAUAGAUUGGUACGAGAAAGGACGGAUGAAGCCAUGAAGAGAUUUUGGCGGCAAUCUGUUGUUACGCGGGAGAUAAACCUGUCGUUUUGCUGAUUUUCUGGAACUUAACUACAAUUAUAGAGAUACGCUGGGUUGUUUAAGUGGUGGGGCCCUACCAGGACAGGUGUCGGACAUCCGUUGGCCCUGCACGAUAGUGCGUACUGGGAACCCUGCAGGAGAGCCCGACCCCGCUUGGUGCCGUUUCUUCGUGGGGUUACCGGUUUCUUCUCUCUCCUCUUUAACUAAGACGCCACGUCAGAUUUUGGCUUACGUGGACGGCUAAGCACCGAUACAGACUGGAGCGUUGGGAGGGGCCUAAUAUGUUACUGUAACAUAGCGCUUACCGAGAAAUGACUAGUCUACAAACUAAUAAAUGAAGUCAUCCAUAACACUACUACUAUAUUACUUUACAUUAUAAAGAUAGUAACUUAGACUAAUGUCAUAUGCAUGAUAUUAGUAUAAGUUACUCCCUCCUGUGACCAGCCUGAUGCCUUGGACUAAGAGUGCUGCUACGUACUACGGCUGGGUUCGUCACCGUACCACUGAUUGGCUGCUAAACAUACCAGCAGCAUGGCCUUGUCACGUCGUCUCUCAUGCUCAUAUCAAUCAUCCAUGCAAGCACCACUGUUUAGCAGCUCCACAGCUCGUUAUUCCUCUAUCUUUUCGGCCAUGGAUGCUCGAUGUUCGUCGACCACUCAAGGGCCGACUGGGCACGCAAUCAUCACGUUAAGUAGAGCAGUGCUACCAGUACUCAUUAUAUUCCCCCAUAGCUUAAUGGGCAGCAACGCCAUAGCCUUUGACGUUUUUAUUUAGAAACGACAUGGCCCUUGGCGUUUUGAGCCUGUCACAUCAGUGACGUCAGUGUGGUCAGGGCAGCAACGCUGGCUGGUUUGGCGUUUUGAUGGUCAUUAGCAACGCCACGGUUUGUGAUGUUGCGAAAAGGAUCAGAUUACGAAAUACUUUCG
Molecule: long non-coding RNA, 4006 nt
Filed under: Triticum aestivum (bread wheat)
Lineage: Eukaryota; Viridiplantae; Streptophyta; Magnoliopsida; Poales; Poaceae
Description: long non-coding RNA (TAES_LNC024144)
Source: RNAcentral